UGGGGAAUUUUGGACAAUGGGGGAAACCCUGAUCCAUCCAUCCCGCGUGUGCGAUGAAGGCCUUCGGGUUGUAAAGCACUUUUGGCAGGAAAGAAACGUCAUGGGUUAAUACCCCGUGAAACUGACGGUACCUGCAGAAUAAGCACCGGCUAACUACGUGCCAGCAGCCGCGGUAAUACGUAGGGUGCAAGCGUUAAUCGGAAUUACUGGGCGUAAAGCGUGCGCAGGCGGUUCGGAAAGAAAGAUGUGAAAUCCCAGAGCUCAACUUUGGAACUGCAUUUUUAACUACCGGGCUAGGGUGUGUCAGAGGGAGGUGGAAUUCCGCGUGUAGCAGUGAAAUGCGUAGAUAUGCGGAGGAACACCGAUGGCGAAGGCAGCCUCCUGGGAUAACACUGACGCUCAUGCACGAAAGCGUGGGGAGCAAACAGG
This 429-nucleotide ribosomal RNA is filed under the name Acidobacteriota bacterium. RNAcentral's name for it is "Acidobacteria bacterium partial 16S ribosomal RNA". It matches the Rfam family "Bacterial small subunit ribosomal RNA", at positions 355 to 776 of the family's 1533-position model. The record is from RNAcentral. Lineage: Bacteria; Pseudomonadati; Acidobacteriota.